UACGAAGGGGGCUAGCGUUGUUCGGAAUUACUGGGCGUAAAGGGCGUGUAGGCGGUCCGCUAAGACAGGUGUGAAAUUCCUGGGCUCAACCCAGGACGUGCGCCUGUGACUGACGGACUUGAGUCCGGGAGAGGAUGGUGGAACUCCCAGUGUAGAGGUGAAAUUCGUAGAUAUUAGGAAGAACACCAGUGGCGAAGGCGGCUCACUGGCCCGGAACUGACGCUCAUGAGCGAAAGCGUGGGGAGCAAACAGG
Molecule: ribosomal RNA, 253 nt
Filed under: uncultured bacterium
Lineage: Bacteria
Description: partial 16S ribosomal RNA
Rfam family: Bacterial small subunit ribosomal RNA
Source: RNAcentral